CGGGGUGUAGCUCAGUUUGGCUAGAGCGCCUGCUUUGGGAGCAGGAGGUCGCAAGUUCAAGUCUUGUCACCCCGA
Molecule: transfer RNA, 75 nt
Filed under: Sedimentisphaerales bacterium
Lineage: Bacteria; Pseudomonadati; Planctomycetota; Phycisphaerae; Sedimentisphaerales
Description: tRNA-Pro
Rfam family: tRNA
About the family: Transfer RNA (tRNA) molecules are approximately 80 nucleotides in length. Their secondary structure includes four short double-helical elements and three loops (D, anti-codon, and T loops).
Source: RNAcentral